AUUGAACGCUGGCGGCAGGCCUAACACAUGCAAGUCGAGCGAGCGGCGGACGGGUGAGUAAUGCCUGGGAAUUUCCCAGUCGAGGGGGAUAACCGUUGGAAACGACUUAUAAUACCGCAUACGCUUGUGUUACCCAGGUGGUAUUAGCUAGUUGGUGAGGUAAUGGCUCACCAAGUCGACGAUCCCUAGCUGGUCUGAGAGGAUGAUCAGCCACACUGUAACUGAGACACGGUCCAGACUCCUACGGGAGGCAGCAGUGGGGAAUAUUGCACAAUGGGGGAAACCCUGAUGCAGCCAUGCCGCGUGUGUGAAGAAGGCCUUCGGGUUGUAAAGCACUUUCAGCGAGGAGGCGGUACUCGCAGAAGAAGCACCGGCUAACUCCGUGCCAGCAGCCGCGGUAAUUC
Molecule: ribosomal RNA, 404 nt
Filed under: uncultured bacterium
Lineage: Bacteria
Description: partial 16S ribosomal RNA
Rfam family: Bacterial small subunit ribosomal RNA
Source: RNAcentral